This 388-nucleotide ribosomal RNA is filed under the name uncultured bacterium. RNAcentral describes it as "bacterial SSU rRNA". It matches the Rfam family "Bacterial small subunit ribosomal RNA", at positions 28 to 417 of the family's 1533-position model. The record is from RNAcentral.
GACGAACGCUGGCGGCGUGCUUAACACAUGCAAGUCGAGCGGUAAGGCCCUUUCGGGGGUACACGAGCGGCGAACGGGUGAGUAACACGUGGGUGACCUGCCCUCAGCUCUGGGAUAAGCCUGGGAAACCGGGUCUAAUACCGGAUAUGACUCCAUGACGCAUGUUGUGGGGUGGAAAGCCUUGUGCGGCUGAGGAUGGGCCCGCGGCCUAUCAGCUUGUUGGUGGGGUGAUGGCCUACCAAGGCGACGACGGGUAGCCGGCCUGAGAAGGCGACCGGCCACACUGGGACUGAGACACGGCCCAGACUCCUACGGGAGGCAGCAGUGGGGAAUCUUGCGCAAUGGGCGAAAGCCUGACGCAGCGACGCCGCGUGAGGGAUGACGGCCU